RNAcentral lists this ribosomal RNA (324 nucleotides) under uncultured eukaryote. Its description in RNAcentral is "partial 18S ribosomal RNA". It matches the Rfam family "Eukaryotic small subunit ribosomal RNA", at positions 1470 to 1796 of the family's 1831-position model. The record is from RNAcentral.
CCCUUAGAUGUUCUGGGCCGCACGCGCGCUACACUGAUGCAUUCAACGAGUUUCUUCCUGGUCCGAGAGGAAUGGGUAACCUUUUGAAAGUGCAUCGUGAUAGGGAUAGACUAUUGCAAUUGUUGGUCUUCAACGAGGAAUUCCUAGUAGACGUAGUUCAUCAGACUGCAUCGAUUACGUCCCUGCCCUUUGUACACACCGCCCGUCGCUCCUACCGAUUGAAUGCUCAGGUGAGCCAUUCGGACUUUCAUCAUGCUGGUUUCCAGUUUUGAUGAAGGAAAGUCUUGCGAACCUUAUCAUUUAGAGGAAGGAGAAGUCGUAACA